GGGAUCUUUUCCCCAAAUAUUUUGGGUUUCUGUUUUUUCUCUUCCCACACUGUUUUAGGAGCAGAAUCCUGAAUUUUCCACCCCUUUUUUUUGCCCAUUUUGUCCCCAAAAUUCCCCAAUAAAAUCAGCACCCGCUCCCUCUUUUCUGGGCCAUUUUUGGGGGGAAUUUUUUGGGAAUUUCUUGGGAAUUUUGGGAUCUUUUCCCCAAAUAUUUUGGAUUUCCUCUCCUCCUCUUCCCACGUUAUUUUGGGAGCAGAAUCCCGAAUUUUCCACCCCUUUUUUUUACCUUUUUCUUCCCGUUUUUCCCCCAAUAACAGCACCGACACCUCCCUUGUUUCUGGGCCGUUUUCUGGGGGGAAUUUUGCAGGAAAUUCUCUGGAAUUUCUUGGGAAUUCUGGGAUCUUCCCACAUUUUAUUUUCGGAACAGAAUCUUGACUUUUCCACCUCUUUUUUUUAACCUUUUUUUCCCCCAAUAACAACACUGACACCUCCGCCAUUUCGGGGCUGGUUUUUUGGGAAUUUCACUGGAAUUUCUUGGGAAUUCUGGGAUCUUCCCACACUGAUUUUGGGAGCAGAAUCUUGAAUUUUCCACCCCUUUUUUUUAACCUUUUUCUUCGCAUUUUUUCCCCCAAUAACAGCACCGACACCUCCACCAUUUCUGGGCCCUUUUUUUUGGGAAUUUCACUGGAAUUUUGUGUUCUCAUCCCAGAGUUCUGGAGUUCCCACCCUCCCUUCUCUUUCUGUGCUUUGGGACCUCAGAAUUCUGAAUUUUCCACCCCCUUUUUCCCCAUUUUUCCCAUUCUCUCCCAGUAAAAACACAACACCUCCCUCGUUUCUGGGCCAUUUUUUGGGGGGAAUUUCUUGGGAAUUUCUCUGGAAUUUCGGGAUCUUCCCACACUGAUUUUGGAAGAGAAUCCUGAAUUUUCGGUGCCUUUUUUGUCCGUUUUCCCACCAUUUUUCCCCAUUUUCCCCCAAUAACAACACCGACACCUCCCUCGUUUCUGGGCCAUUUUUUCGGGAUUUUCACAGGAAUUUCACUGAAAUUUCCCCGGAAUUUGUUCCGGAAGUUUCUGUCUCAGAGCCGGAACACAUAGCUGUCGCUGUGGGUCAGGUUUGUUCCGGAAGGUUCCAGAAGGUUCUGUCUCUCUCACAAUCGCAGCACGUAGGAAUCACUGUGGGUCAGGUUUGUUCCAGAAGGUUCCAGAAUGUUCUCUCUCUCUCACAAUUGCAGCACGUAGCUGUCACUGUGGGUGAGGUAGCGCACCCAGCGCUUCUGGAAGGUUCCGGAACGUUCUGUCUC
RNAcentral lists this long non-coding RNA (1300 nucleotides) under Zonotrichia albicollis (white-throated sparrow). Its description in RNAcentral is "lncRNA (ENSZALG00000001981.1)". Lineage: Eukaryota; Metazoa; Chordata; Aves; Passeriformes; Passerellidae. The record is from RNAcentral.